This 246-nucleotide ribosomal RNA is filed under the name uncultured bacterium. Its description in RNAcentral is "partial 16S ribosomal RNA". It matches the Rfam family "Bacterial small subunit ribosomal RNA", at positions 15 to 257 of the family's 1533-position model. The record is from RNAcentral.
GAUCCUGGCUCAGAUUGAACGCUGGCGGCAGGCUUAACACAUGCAAGUCGAACGGUAACAUAAAGGAGUUUGCUUCUUUGAUGACGAGUGGCGGACGGGUGAGUAAUGCUUGGGAAUCUAGCUUAUGGAGGGGGAUAACUACGGGAAACUGUAGCUAAUACCGCGUAGAAUCGGGAGAUGAAAGUGUGGGACCUUCGGGCCACAUGCCAUAGGAUGAGCCCAAGUGGGAUUAGGUAGUUGGUGAGG